This 890-nucleotide ribosomal RNA is filed under the name Acinetobacter sp. Its description in RNAcentral is "bacterial SSU rRNA". It matches the Rfam family "Bacterial small subunit ribosomal RNA", at positions 75 to 960 of the family's 1533-position model. Lineage: Bacteria; Pseudomonadati; Pseudomonadota; Gammaproteobacteria; Moraxellales; Moraxellaceae. The record is from RNAcentral.
GAAGCUUGCUACUGAUCUUAGCGGCGGACGGGUGAGUAAUGCUUAGGAAUCUGCCUAUUAGUGGGGGACAACAUUUCGAAAGGAAUGCUAAUACCGCAUACGUCCUACGGGAGAAAGCAGGGGAUCUUCGGACCUUGCGCUAAUAGAUGAGCCUAAGUCGGAUUAGCUAGUUGGUGGGGUAAAGGCCUACCAAGGCGACGAUCUGUAGCGGGUCUGAGAGGAUGAUCCGCCACACUGGGACUGAGACACGGCCCAGACUCCUACGGGAGGCAGCAGUGGGGAAUAUUGGACAAUGGGCGCAAGCCUGAUCCAGCCAUGCCGCGUGUGUGAAGAAGGCCUUAUGGUUGUAAAGCACUUUAAGCGAGGAGGAGGCUACUUUAGUUAAUACCUAGAGAUAGUGGACGUUACUCGCAGAAUAAGCACCGGCUAACUCUGUGCCAGCAGCCGCGGUAAUACAGAGGGUGCAAGCGUUAAUCGGAUUUACUGGGCGUAAAGCGCGCGUAGGCGGCUAAUUAAGUCAAAUGUGAAAUCCCCGAGCUUAACUUGGGAAUUGCAUUCGAUACUGGUUAGCUAGAGUGUGGGAGAGGAUGGUAGAAUUCCAGGUGUAGCGGUGAAAUGCGUAGAGAUCUGGAGGAAUACCGAUGGCGAAGGCAGCCAUCUGGCCUAACACUGACGCUGAGGUGCGAAAGCAUGGGGAGCAAACAGGAUUAGAUACCCUGGUAGUCCAUGCCGUAAACGAUGUCUACUAGCCGUUGGGGCCUUUGAGGCUUUAGUGGCGCAGCUAACGCGAUAAGUAGACCGCCUGGGGAGUACGGUCGCAAGACUAAAACUCAAAUGAAUUGACGGGGGCCCGCACAAGCGGUGGAGCAUGUGGUUUAAUUCGAUGCAAC